Molecule: ribosomal RNA, 530 nt
Filed under: uncultured bacterium
Lineage: Bacteria
Description: bacterial SSU rRNA
Rfam family: Bacterial small subunit ribosomal RNA
Source: RNAcentral
UGGGGAAUCUUGCGCAAUGGGCGAAAGCCUGACGCAGCGACGCCGCGUGAGGGAAGAAGGCUUUCGGGUUGUAAACCUCUUUCAGAAGGGACGAAGCCACUCGGGUGAAUAGCCCAGAGGGUGACGGUACCUUCAGAAGAAGCCCCGGCUAACUACAUGCCAGCAGCCGCGGUAAUACGUAGGGGGCAAGCGUUGUCCGGAUUUAUUGGGCGUAAAGAGCGUGUAGGCGGGUUUGGGUAGGGUCCGCUGUGAAAACUCGAGGCUCAACCUCGAGACGCCGGUGGAAACCAUCAGACUAGAGUCCGGAAGAGGAGAGUGGAAUUCCUGGUGUAGCGGUGAAAUGCGCAGAUAUCAGGAAGAACACCCGUGGCUAAGGCGGCUCUCUAGUACGGUACUGACGCUGAGACGCGAAAGCGUGGGGAGCGAACAGGAUUAGAUACCCUGGUAGUCCACGCCGUAAACGAUGGGUGCUAGGUGUAGGGGGUGUCGACUCCCUCUGUGCCGAAGCUAACGCAUUAAGCACCCCGCCU